GGUGCGACACACAGAGGGCAAUAGAGUCUGUCAAAUUAAGUGCCAGCUGACGCGGUUAAACUUAAGGGCUGGUUUUUAUAAGUAAAAAGGCGUAAAGGAUGUGUAAGCCACGAAAAGAUCCAAGAAAGUAAACGGAAUUUGUCUGGAGCGGUAGAAUGUGAUGAUAGAAAAUAGAACCCCGAAAGCUCAAACUAUUUACCACCGAGGCGGCUGAGACAUACCAUGAAAGCGUGGGGAACAAACAGGAUUAGGGACCCUGGUAGUCCACGCUGUGAACUCUGGAAAGGAUGCGUAGCAGACCCAAAAGGGGAUUUUCCCGCCUGAGUAGUACGAUCGCAAGAUUAAAAUACAAAAACUUUGGCUGUCUACUAUUUCGAUUAGAGGAGCGUGUCGUUUAAUUCGAUGGUCCGCGCAUCACCUUACCCCAACUUGAAUCCGGGACCGGUAUUGCAUGGCCGUCGUAAGUCCGUGUGUUAAGCAAGAAGGGACUCAACCCGGGCGCGAGCCCGGAGGAAGUCAGGUCUUAUGAUCCGAAAGUUGUGGGAUUUUAUGCGCUACAUUUUUUUAUAGAAUGGGGACAUAGGGAAUCUCGAAAGUAAGAGCUCGAAAGGUCGUUGUAAAACGACUGGAAGUAGGAUUUAAUAGUAAUCGGAAAGUAGCGCGUUCCGGUGAAUUAGUACGAGUGUUAGUACAAAUUGCCCGUCACCUUUCCCCGAGAUAGAGGGAGAGGAA
This 732-nucleotide ribosomal RNA is filed under the name Scytophorus striatus. RNAcentral describes it as "partial small subunit ribosomal RNA". It matches the Rfam family "Bacterial small subunit ribosomal RNA", at positions 466 to 1484 of the family's 1533-position model. The record is from RNAcentral. Lineage: Eukaryota; Metazoa; Cnidaria; Anthozoa; Actiniaria; Halcampidae.